GAUUUCGAUUGAAGCGACUCAAGGUUGGUGGCGAACGGGUGAGUAACACGUGAACAACCAACCAUAUAGACCGGGACAACUGACGGAAACGACAGCUAAUACCGGAUAAGCUCCAGAGAGGGCAUCCUCAGAGGAGAAAAGUAGGCCUCUCUAAAGAAGCACGCGCUAUAUGACGGAUUCGCGGCUGAUUAGCUAGAUGGUGAGAUAAAAGCCCACCAUGGCGACGAUCAGUAGCCGGCCUGAGAGGGUGAACGGCCACAAUGGGACUGAGACACGGCCCAUACUCCUACGGGAGGCAGCAGUGGGGAAUUUUGCGCAAUGGGCGAAAGCCUGGCGCAGCAACGCCGCGUGAGUGAUGAAGGCUUUCGGGUCGUAAAGCUCUGUCAAGGGGAAAGAAGUGUAUUGUGGUUAAUACCCGCGAUACUUGACGGUACCCCUAAAGGAAGCACCGGCUAACUCCGUGCCAGCAGCCGCGGUAAUACGGAGGGUGCGAGCGUUGUUCGGAAUUAUUGGGCGUAAAGCGCGUGUAGGCGGUUUGUUAAGUCUGAUGUGAAAGCCCCGGGCUCAACCUGGGAAGUGCAUUGGAUACUGGCAGACUUGAAUACGGGAGAGGGCAGUGGAAUUCCUGGUGUAGGAGUGAAAUCCGUAGAUAUCAGGAGGAACACCGGUGGCGAAGGCGGCUGCCUGGACCGAUAUUGACGCUGAGACGCGAAAGCGUGG
RNAcentral lists this ribosomal RNA (720 nucleotides) under uncultured bacterium. RNAcentral describes it as "bacterial SSU rRNA". It matches the Rfam family "Bacterial small subunit ribosomal RNA", at positions 76 to 764 of the family's 1533-position model. The record is from RNAcentral.